GGGGUUAAUGACAGUUAGUAUUAUGGUGCAUUCAUGCCAGCUGGGAAUAUCAGGGACCGCCCCCGUGAUUACGUUGUUUUUCAGACUGCCAGCGUUCACAUGAUGCACGUUCUUCUUCU
Etheostoma cragini (Arkansas darter) is the source of this 119-nucleotide long non-coding RNA. RefSeq lists it as uncharacterized. The transcript is spliced from 3 exons. NCBI's taxonomy places the organism in Eukaryota, Metazoa, Chordata, Actinopteri, Perciformes, Percidae. The record is from RefSeq and is a predicted model, not a curated record.